RNAcentral lists this long non-coding RNA (262 nucleotides) under Gallus gallus (chicken). The record is from RNAcentral. Lineage: Eukaryota; Metazoa; Chordata; Aves; Galliformes; Phasianidae.
UACUUCCAGACCCAGCUCUGCUGCCGUGGUGGCACCGUCCAGGAGAGGACCAAGCUGGUGGCCGUUUGUCCGUUCAGGCUCACCGACGUCACCUGGGGUGGCUCUGUGUGGUUGACGCUGAUGCUGGUGCUGGCCACGCUGCGGAGCGGGCUGAAAGCUGAGACCCCGUUUCGAGCUUCGAUGGUGAAGGUGUAGUUGACGUGGGGCUCCAGGUCAGUGACCGUCACCCCUGUCCCCACCAGCCCCUGGGGGGGCUGUGAGU